Molecule: non-coding RNA, 71 nt
Organism: Eragrostis curvula (weeping love grass)
Lineage: Eukaryota; Viridiplantae; Streptophyta; Magnoliopsida; Poales; Poaceae
Source: the annotation of a GenBank genome assembly
UGUAAAGUAGUCUAGUGGCAAGUCUUUUGCUUUCCAAGCUCUAGUUUGGGGUUCAAAUCCCCACUUUGUCU